AUGGGACUGGAAUUGGGCUGUAUCAGUUUUCUGUAUGUUCCUGACAUUUUACUUAUUGGCAUAUAAUAGGAAGCUAGUCUUUAAAAGUUUGGACUCGCUUCCUGAAUAUAUUUAUUUGCACUCAACUCAACCAUAUUUAUUUGAAGCUAAUAAAAAGGAAACAUAUUAGAAACUUAUUGCCAUACUCUUGGUUAUGUGAAAACAUGUAGAUUUCCUAUUUCCUGCAUGAGAAUAUUUGCAGAUUUUACCCGUAAAGCACUAAGAGCUUGUUCUUCGCCCCAACAAAAUGUACACUACCACUUUUGGUGCUGCUUUUCAAUAAAAAUUUGGUUAAAUUUUUUUAUGGAACUUAAUGUCAACAAUAGAGUUAGAUUGACCACCUGGUUGGCACUUCCAAACUACUCGACGAGUUUGCUAGGGUUCAGAAAGGGGUCUACCAGAGCUCAUGAGGCAAUCUCUGAAAAUCCCUCUGAUAAGCCCAAACCUCCUAUUGAACAGCCAUGAAAGUCGAGCUUGGUAACAAGUUGGUUAGGGGAUGAUAUCAUUACUCUAUCUCUAUGGAUUUAGGGUGAUGACUGAAUGAUGAUAGUCCAUUCUUUCACAAUAGUACCCUCCUCCAUGCUGUUUGACUGUAUCAUUCGCCAUUUUGACCAUGAUUGGAUCACUCGACUAGAUAGUUAGAAAACCUGUCAAGACCUCUUUGCAGAUUCCGUGCCUGGGUUCCUCAAUUGCUUGUGUGACUGAUGAUUUAUUUUCAUCUUUGAACCAAACAGGUUUUCCUUAAAAAUUGGAUUUCCAUUCUUUUUUUGUCAUUCUGAUUUAUCAAUAUUUAAUCUAUAUUAGACUUAUGUAGAAUUUAUCUCAUUUUUCAUUUUUCUUGCAAGUGGCCAGUAGAUUGCUCUUUUUUUAUUUUCUUUUUUUCCUUGCAGUCUUAUAAGAAAACUGAAUAUAAGUUUUUCAUUUGCUAAAGGGUAGUUCUAACCUUUCCUUUUCCUUAAAUUUACUCACCCGAUGAAGAAAAUAAAGAGGAUAUUUGCGAAAUUUCUAUUUUAAUUUGUUUCAUGAACCAAUCAUUUUUAUUUUGGAUGUAGCUUUCAUGGUUUCAUUAUGAUUAUUACAUGCUUCCUAUUCCAAUGAAACUAAUUUUCCAUAUUUAUUCUUUGUCAGGUGACAGAAUCUGAAGUUGUAAUGCAUAAUCGUAUACCUGUUGGAUAUGCUUCAUGCCCCACAGAAACAAUGAGUAUCAUUAGACUUUUAGAGUGUUGGUUGUGUUUUAGUUGAGUAAAGCUAUAACUCAAAGUUAAUUCAUUAAAUGCUUAUCCAUUUUAUUAGGACAUUUGAUUGUUCACCUAAGUAAACAUAUCUGCCUGAGCACGCUUGCAAUUCAACUUUGCCCUCAGAUUUCAUCAGUUUGUUUUUUUUUUUAUGUCCGUUUCUCAUUUGGAUAUCUUUGUGUUUAUUGUUCCUUUAAAAUACUAUGGAAACACGAACGGCCUAUAAUUCUUCCAAUAUAAAAUAGGUCUUUGAUUUUUCCAGGUUAAUUACAUGUCAACUCAUGAUGAUAAAACUUAGUAGUUUAAUCAGUCUGUUACAAGUAGGACAUCAGUCCUAGUAAGACUAGAAACAGAGAAACAUAAUAGACUGCUGACUAAAUAAUCAGUCCUAGACUCUUCUAUUUGAACUACGACUUUCAUCGUUAGACAAGGAAAACACCAAGGGAGGAACUUGCACAAUCCACAAGACUCGUCCUUCCUUCUCUUCUCCUGACAGUCUUCUAGCAACUCUAACAGAAUAUCUAGCUAUACUUUUUAUCUUUGUCUUGUAUGAAGUUCUAACUAAUAAGAUUCUUACCAACCUUAUUGAUUUAUUCAAAAGCCAAUGAAAAUUUAUGUGGAGGAUAGUUGUAGGAUAAAUAAUUUGGCGAUUAGUAUUGUCGCAUUUUCACAGGUUCCAUUUUCCUUGCAUUAAGAAGUGGUGUGGUCUUACAUUUGUUAUAUAAUAUCAUUAUACUUUAACAUGACAAUCUCACUCUUUUUAUUUUUUUGGUGAAUCGUUUGUUGAGCUGUCCUAGGUUCAAGUUUCUAAAUCUCGGAUCAGUUUUGAGAUCGAUCAACACCAAUACCAAUUGGGCUAGGAUUGGAGUAUUAGACAGAUUUACCUGUGAUUUUAAAUAAAUUAUAUUACAUUUUACUAUGGGGCAGUACCUGUGUAUCAGGAUCCAAUUGGUUAGGACUUAGGAUCGAGGAUCGAUCAACGCCUAAACCGAUCGGUCAAGGAAAAAAUCGACCCGAUCCAGCCAAUAUUGACCUAUCCAAUCCGAGUUUAGAACCAUACCUUAUAGUAGGUUUAAGGUUUUGUUAACCUCAUUGAAACGACCUUGUAGGUCACUAACUGUCCUAUCUAAAUACAUUACAUAGAAUUGUGGCUGUCGGGAAACUCAUAAAAUAGGGGGAAUUAAAAGGGGAAAAAUUAUUUCUUUUAGAUGUGAUUUGAUUGAGACUCAGAAUCUGUGAGGUUAACAUAUUCGUGUAGUGAAAUGUUAUUGUUUUGUUCAGCUUGACACAUCAGUUGAUGUGACGUGGGUUAUGAAACAAAUUUUGGUUGAACAUCAGUUAAUGUUCAGCUUGACACAUCCAUUGAUGUGACAUGUAUUGUUUUGAUUAAGUUGAAAACAUUUUUAAUAUUGAAAAGUGGUUACCCAUUGUCUGUUCUUGUACUGAUGAAUUAGUUAUAAUCCUUGGGUUAUGGUUAUCCAUCCAUGCCUUAUGUGGUGAUUCCUGAGAUUUCGAAGAAAGCUGAUAGAUCUUAUUAGUGGGUGGGACAUCUGCUACAUUCAGCUCUUGUGGAUGACCUUGUAAGUUUAUUACUCUUGGCUAUCUACAAUAGACUUUGGAGAGAAAAGAGGGCACCCAUGUUUAAGAAUGAAUUGUUAAGUAUGAAUUAUGGUGUUUCAAAUUGUUCUUGCUUUAUUAAAAUUUGACUGCUUUCAUGGGGUUUUAAGGGGGUGGGGUGUUUCUUUUUUCUGUUUCAAUUGGAAUUUCAUGUAGUGGAAGCUGCUACCUGUUUGUUUAGGCUGUGGGUGCUUUUGUAGUAGCCUCCAAUUUUGGUGGUUGUAAUUGCUAAUUGUUGUUGGUCAUUGUUUUAUUUUGUUCCCUUAAAAUGUUACAAAUUCGUUUUGUUGGGCUUCAGGCUUCUAGAUUUCUACCAUUAACCAUACAUCUUGGUUCUUUGCUGAUUGUGUUGGACUAGGAAUCAGAGUUUUGUAAUGUGGUUUAAUUACUGAGGGAGGGGAGUGGAAGAGCCUUUGUAGUGUGUUUCUUUUGUAUUUGUGCAAGUGUAUACAAAAUCUUUUUUUUUUUUUUUUGCUCCUUGCUGGCAGGUAUAAAAGUUGUUAUGGUAUCAUGUAAUGGGAUACUUAAAUAGCAACAAUAUAUUGGUUCUAUUUGCAGAGGAACUGAUGUGCUUUGACAUGAUAUGUUUCAGUACGAAAUAAUGCCCAUCAAUACAACUUUUGUCUUAUUUGUGUCAAGGUUCUUUAAGUGAUCCUUUCAACCAUGGCUGAAGUAGAUGCGAAGGAAUACACGAACAUAUGAUAGUAUCUUUAUUAUUUUUUUUUUUGCUAAGGUCAAUUAUCAAGGCCUUUGGCCUAACUACUCCCGUGGGGCCAUACUGACCCCACAACUGUAUGGAGGGGUCAUGCCAGGGUUGAUUGAGAACCAUUCAACUUUCACUGAGAGCAAUGAAGCGCACUAAACACCCCCGUGUGAAUGGCCCCAUGGAGGUAAGAAGAAUCGAGACUCAAAACCACACGCUUCCUGAGGUGAAGGUCCCUUGCCAACUCAGCUACCCCCUUGGGUUUGAGAGCAUAUGGUAGUAUUUGCAACUAAGACAAUGGGAAUGUUUGAAUGGUUAGAAGAACAUUGGGAGAUGCAUAGAUAAUUCCAGACAUUAACAUAUCGCUUGCAAUUCACAUUGUGAAUAUUCUAUGGUAGCAUUGGGUUUUAUAGCACUGUGUACUUGGUCCCAAUCCCAAUUGAGGAUUAUCUGACUUAGCAGCUAACAUAAAUUUUUAUACCGUCUUGUUAUAUCAUCUGUUUAUCAAAUCAUUUUUUCAUCUUGUAAAUAUCCUUCUCAAAAACUUGAGCGAUUGGGUGGAGGGACUCACAGGUAUAUGAGGGGACAAUAGGCCUCAAGGGUAACCGAUGUGGGACCAUUCUCCCAACAGUUGAGGAGAGGAAAGAAAUCAACAGAAUCAAUCUGGUGAUGACAACGGAUUCCAAUUUGACCUUCUUGAUAAGAAGGUUUGCCUCAAAUGUUACAGUUUGAAAAAUGCACUUUGCUCCUGCCAUUUUGUCCCUUGCAGUUCCGUAAGAACACACAAAUUUGCUUAGUGUUUCUAGGUUGUAGAACUUAUAGUGCUGAUACUUUUCUUGUUUGCACUGCUAAUCUUUCUUAUGCUUAAAUGUUGUCUUGAAAAUUUUAAGGUGUCUCUUUCACGUUUAAUUCAUAUAGGAUGGAUAUAUUAUCAUACUAGUUCUCACUCUUCAUACUA
Macadamia integrifolia is the source of this 4552-nucleotide long non-coding RNA. RefSeq lists it as uncharacterized. The record is from RefSeq and is a predicted model, not a curated record. The transcript is spliced from 2 exons. NCBI's taxonomy places the organism in Eukaryota, Viridiplantae, Streptophyta, Magnoliopsida, Proteales, Proteaceae.